CAGGAAACUGCUAGAGGAAGCUGCCUUGGAGAGGAUUCUUUCCUCCCCUCCCGAAAGGAGCUGAACUCAAAAUCUCUCCAUUUCACAAUAGACAUUGGAGAACAUUUUCAACAGUGGAUUUGCACCGGUGUUUUGUGUCCUAGAAAAACGUUCCCUUCAGGUAGGUUCUAAUAAGCCCCACUGGGACAUUUUGGACACCCUUGUCUGCUCUCUGCCUCUCUAACCUUAGAGGGUCCCUUGGAAUCAACUAAUAUUUCAGGUCCUUUCUUCCCAUUACUGUUGCCACACAAGGAACCCAGAUUACAUCAGGGAGAGGCUGAGCUCCAGAGGUUCACACCAGGAGCUUAUUCAUUGUCACACUGUUCCUGCUUCCUGACAGGUUCACUUGAACCAUCUGGAGAUUGGGGAACAAGGGCAAUGUGAGUAUUCAUGAAAUUCAAAUCAUGCCAAGUAUUCCGGGAUGGGAAUGGUUGUCUCAGAGGUGUGCUCUGUGGUUGACUGACCUUGAGCUUGCGUUUUCUUCCUUUUCUUUUUUUUUUAAAUUAUACUUUAGGUUUUAUGGUACAUGUGCACAUUGUGCAGGUUAGUUACAUAUGUAUACAUGUGCCAUGCUGGUGCGCUGCACCCACUAACUCGUCAUCUAGCAUUAGGUAUAUCUCCCAACGCUAUCCCUCCCCCCUCCCCCCACCCCAGAACAGUCCCCAGAGUGUGAUAUUCCCCUUCCUGUGCCCGUGUGAUCUCAUUGUUCAAUUCCCACCUAUGAGUGAGAAUAUGCGGUUUCUUAAUAUGUGUUUCUUAAUUGUGCAUCCUGCUGGGGUUGAGAACAGAAAUUGAAAAACACAAUUGUUUUAUCUCUCCUUCCCCGAGGAGUUGAACAUGUAGGAAGUUUCAUGGCCCAGCCCCUCCUGAGAGCCCUGAACUGCCAACCAGACUGAGCCCAUCAGAGAAUAACACCUCAUUUUCUGAGGAUUCUGAUACCUUUUCAAUCAGAAACAGAAGCAAAGAUUCUGCAGCUCCCACAGAAACUCCCAGAAACCUUGCGGUGCUUCACCCUUCUGAGAUCCUUGAGUCCGAAUGUGGGAGCUAACCAGGCACAUCUUCACAAUGAAAUCUUCACAAGCUCAGAACCAUCAACUUGCUACACUGUGUUCCUCCAGUGCCCAGUUCACAGGAAGCACUCAAGAGUAGGAUCAAUUGUUAUCAACCUCUAGCAGAUUAUUGAAUAGACGGUCGUUACAUGAAACUGACACUCAGUUCUUCAUGGUCCACGAUAGUUCUUAUAUCCAGAAAACGUACUUACGUUAUCAACUCUGACUCCAUAAGACAACUUUGCAAAGUCUUGGCUCAUAACUAUGUAAGCAAUGAGAUAACUUAGUUUUCAUUUCUCACUUGUUACUUACAAGUAAACAGCCCUGCAGCUCAGCUGAGCUACAGAUUAACUACAGGUAAUCACUUCAGCGAUUCUGCUUUACCCAUGCCCAAGAUUUUAAAAAAGAACCUGACAGAUCAUUAAAUUUUGAGAUUUGCUUUUUAAAAUGCAGGUUCCAUAAAGUUACGCUGUUUUGCUUAUAUAUACAGCAACAAAUGCCUUCUUAGAUAUUUACUUUAAAAUUCUAGUUUCCUUACCAUGUAUUAGCCAGAUAAUCUGUCAUUUUUUAAAUUCUGAAAUUGUACAUAUAUAAAUUAAUGUACAUCUCUAUGCCUGAAAGGUACAUUUGGAAUUACAACGUGUGUCAAGGUAGAGCAAAAUCCCCCAGUCCACUCCUUCCAACCCCCUAGAAAUUUACUCUGUUUGGUUUCCUCUUGAUUGUCUUUAAUUAACAAUAAGUAUGUCACAUAGGUAUCAAAUAAAAUAAGAAAAAAAAUAGAUAAAAGAGAAGUGAUUCAAAAUUCAAGUGUUUAAACACUUUAUGAAUCUUCCCGUUGUUCUUGACACAUUUUUAAAAUUUCAUUUUAAUUCAGAUCAUUAGGGAUGAAAUUCUCCUGAAUUGUAGCAUUUUAUUUCCUUUGGGAAGAAGGGGCUGAAUUUGGCAUAAUUAUACUUGACUAUACUGUAAAAGAAACCAGAUCUAAUAUAAGGACAUCAAUACUUAGUUAUUAAUUCAUUUGCUUAUAUUUAUAUGUCAUUUGAAAAUGUGUAUUAACAUACACAAUUAAAGGGAUAUAAAAAUGAACAUGCC
This 2180-nucleotide long non-coding RNA is filed under the name Homo sapiens (human). Its description in RNAcentral is "PREDICTED lncRNA (TCONS_00247598)". The record is from RNAcentral. Lineage: Eukaryota; Metazoa; Chordata; Mammalia; Primates; Hominidae.